Molecule: long non-coding RNA, 730 nt
Organism: Trichomycterus rosablanca
Lineage: Eukaryota; Metazoa; Chordata; Actinopteri; Siluriformes; Trichomycteridae
Exons: 3
Source: RefSeq, a predicted model, not a curated record
CCCCCAUUUGAAACUGGCCCUUGACCUAGGUCAGCAUUGGAGCUAGUUUCGAAUUAUCAACCGAUGCUACCGCAAGAUUACAAAAACAGCAAUAUUAGCAGUAAACAGAUUGUAUUUACAACGGUCUCGUCAAUUCAAAAUACAAUUAAAGGCUAUUCUGGUUUAAAAGGAAAAUUAAGACAUACAGUGGGAGUUACUGCACAUUUCAGUAUGACAAGCUGCUCAGAGCGCCUAAAACAACAAAGUUCUUAAAAAGGAAUAAAGAUAGGAAAGCCAGAACAAGAUGUGGACUGGAAAAAAACAAGCAGCACCCCACUGUCCCAGCUGACAUCCAGUGUGGUCCAAACGUGAGUCCUGCUCUGGAAAGGAAUUGUCAUGCUGCCAGCUCUAGAUGUCCAGGACUGUUGUGAUGGCCAGAAAGUGCCUUGACUGAGUUCCCACAGAAAGCUGCAGGGACUGGGAGACUGUUAAGAAUUGAAGAAAGGAUGAAUGUAGCCAAAAACAGGAACAUCCUAGAAGAAACCCUCCUCUAGAGUGAAUGCAAUCUCAGACAGGGGUGACAGUUUACCUUUCAGCACUUCAAUAACCCAAUGCAUACAGCGACUCCGAACCUGUGUCUGAAUGCCCAGACUUAAACUCCAUCAGGCAUUUGUGAAAAGACCCGAAGAUUACACAUGCACACCAUCCAGUCUGAGCUUGACAGCAUUUCCAAUAAAGAAUAGAAAAAACU